This is a long non-coding RNA of Peromyscus leucopus (white-footed mouse), 1320 nucleotides long. RefSeq lists it as uncharacterized. Lineage: Eukaryota; Metazoa; Chordata; Mammalia; Rodentia; Cricetidae. The record is from RefSeq and is a predicted model, not a curated record. The transcript has 2 exons.
UUGGUGGCUUCCCUGCUCCCGGCUCCCAGCUUUUCAUCUCCUCUGUCCCCCAGCCUGGAUGAGUCUAAACGCUGAUCUUCAUUCUGUUGGGCACCAGGACAAUCAGCAUCACCUAGAGUUGGAAGCAGAUUCUAAGCCUGCUCCAGACCUGCAGAAGUCGUCUCCAUCUCCCCCUAAGGCCUCCGGCACCCACCACAGGUAGAGGAGCUUACAGAAACAGCGGCAGGGUCUGGCCCUCCCCUCCUCCACACACGCUCUGCUCUUUUCUCUCCCAGCAGGAGAGCGCAGGCUGCCUAGGAACCAGCAUGCGGUUUGGAAGCCAAGCGGUGCUCAUUUGGUUUUAUUUAUCUUCUUGGAGCUUCGUCUAUUUUGGGUCUCAGCCAUUCGGAAAAGGCUUGGGCUGUUUUACACUCGCCCAGGGUGGGGUGGGAGUGCUGGAGAGAAAGUUAACAUUCCUGUGCCCGUGCAUCGCGGUUGUAGGCUUGCCCAGCGGCAGGCCCAGUCUCCACCUGGCCGCCUGCCCAGUAAUCGAUGCGGACCAUCUGGGUCAGGCCCUUCCCGGGGCCGUAUCUGUUGUUCUCAAAACAGAAGAGAGCGCUGCCCUUUCCUUUAGAGAAGUUCUCUUCUGGGAGGAGCAGGGCUUCUCCCCACAGCAUGCCAUGCCUCCCUCCAGCACUCGGUGCAAGUCACACGGCGGCGUCAGGUGAUUCGGGCUAUGUGUUCCUGACCAAGGGUGGUUGGCCCAGCGUUGACACGUGACUGAAACUAGCCCUUCCGGUGGUCUGUGGAGCCGCUGGCACUGAGGCUGAAUGGAGUCUGUCCGAGGGAUUUGUAAACUGCAAUGACAUCCAAAGUGGUGGCUGGAGACGGCGCAGUGGUGAAGAACACCUGGUCCUCUUGCAGAGGCCGAGAGUUCAGCUCCUGCACCCACAGUGGGCAGUUCACAGCGGCCUGUUAACUCCAGCUCCAUGGCAUAUGGCGCCCUCUUCUGGCCUCCACGCGUAACUGCACUCAUGGAAGCCCACACAUCCACACACAAAAGUAAAAAUCUAAAGCAGGUAUUUUCAUAAGCGGAAGGACACUGGGCUACAUAUCUUCAUCUGUAAUGGAGGCAGCACUGAACUUCAAGGUUUCAAUCUCUGCGAACUUCGCUUCUUUACAUGGAGCAGACACUAGUAUUACUAAGACGUUAGUAUAAUCUGGCAGAGGUUUUUUUUUUUCCCCCAAAAAACAACUUUUAAGUUCCAUUUUCAAAAUUUUCUUCACUAUAUUUACUCCUUAAAAGCUUAAUUUUUAUAAAAUGUAAGUGAACUGCGGUGA